GRWCGUUAUCGGAUUACUGGGCGUAAGCGCACGCAGGCGGUUGAUUAAGUUAGAUGUGAAAUCCCCGGGGCUUAACCUGGGAAUGGCAUCUAAGACUGGUCAGCUAGAGUCUUGUAGAGGGGGGUAGAAUUCCAUGUGUAGCGGUGAAAUGCGUAGAGAUGUGGAGGAAUACCGGUGGCGAAGGCGGCCCCCUGGACAAAGACUGACGCUCANGUGCCGAAAGCGUGGGGAGCAACAGGAUUAUAUACCCUGGUANUCCNCGCUGSNANNAUUCCUUUGAAGGGCUGCCCCGAAGAAUCGUGGGGAASCAACGWUUAYCCUCGGGGCGGAAGUAAUCGUGGWUAAAAUYGGUAUC
This 355-nucleotide ribosomal RNA is filed under the name uncultured bacterium. RNAcentral describes it as "partial 16S ribosomal RNA". It matches the Rfam family "Bacterial small subunit ribosomal RNA", at positions 548 to 848 of the family's 1533-position model. The record is from RNAcentral.